UCUGGGAUAGCCACCGGAAACGGUGAUUAAUACCGGAUACGACAACCGAUUGCAUGAUCUGGUUGUGGAAAGUUUUUCGGCCUGGGAUGUGCUCGCGGCCUAUCAGCUUGUUGGUGAGGUAAUGGCUCACCAAGGCUUCGACGGGUAGCCGGCCUGAGAGGGUGACCGGCCACACUGGGACUGAGACACGGCCCAGACUCCUACGGGAGGCAGCAGUGGGGAAUAUUGGACAAUGGGCGGAAGCCUGAUCCAGCAACGCCGCGUGAGGGAUGACGGCCUUCGGGUUGUAAACCUCUUUCAGCACAGACGAAGCGCAAGUGACGGUAUGUGCAGAAGAAGGACCGGCCAACUACGUGCCAGCAGCCGCGGUAAUACGUAGGGUCCGAGCGUUGUCCGGAAUUAUUGGGCGUAAAGGGCUCGUAGGCGGUCUGUCGCGUCGGGAGUGAAAACCAGGUGCUUAACACCUGGCCUGCUUUCGAUACGGGCAGACUAGAGGUACUCAGGGGAGAAUGGAAUUCCUGGUGUAGCGGGUGAAAUGCGCANAUAUCAGGAGGAACACCGGUGGCGAAGGCGGUUCUCUGGGAGUAUCCUGACGCUGAGGAGCGAAAGUGUGGGGAGCGAACAGGAUUAGAUACCCUGGUAGUCCACACCGUAGACGUUGGGCGCUAGGUGUGGGAUCCAUUCCACGGGUUCCGUGCCGCAGCUAACGCAUUAAGCGCCCCGCCUGG
This 728-nucleotide ribosomal RNA is filed under the name Nocardioides sp. Its description in RNAcentral is "bacterial SSU rRNA". It matches the Rfam family "Bacterial small subunit ribosomal RNA", at positions 137 to 876 of the family's 1533-position model. Lineage: Bacteria; Bacillati; Actinomycetota; Actinomycetes; Propionibacteriales; Nocardioidaceae. The record is from RNAcentral.